GAGGGUAUAGCUCAGCGGUAGAGUGCAUAUUUAGCAUGCAUAAGGUCUUGGGUUCAAGUCCUAGUACUUCCA
Molecule: transfer RNA, 72 nt
Filed under: Camelus bactrianus (Bactrian camel)
Lineage: Eukaryota; Metazoa; Chordata; Mammalia; Artiodactyla; Camelidae
Also listed under: 1 other name
Rfam family: tRNA
About the family: Transfer RNA (tRNA) molecules are approximately 80 nucleotides in length. Their secondary structure includes four short double-helical elements and three loops (D, anti-codon, and T loops).
Source: Rfam by way of RNAcentral